RNAcentral lists this ribosomal RNA (1967 nucleotides) under Escherichia coli. RNAcentral describes it as "partial 23S ribosomal RNA". It matches the Rfam family "Bacterial large subunit ribosomal RNA", at positions 222 to 2213 of the family's 2925-position model. The record is from RNAcentral. Lineage: Bacteria; Pseudomonadati; Pseudomonadota; Gammaproteobacteria; Enterobacterales; Enterobacteriaceae.
AAAUCAACCGAGAUUCCCCCAGUAGCGGCGAGCGAACGGGGAGGAGCCCAGAGUCUGAAUCAGUGUGUGUGUUAGUGGAAGCGUCUGGAAAGGCGUGCGAUACAGGGUGACAGCCCCGUACACAAAAAUGCACAUAUUGUGAGCUCGAUGAGUAGGGCGGGACACGUGGUAUCCUGUCUGAAUAUGGGGGGACCAUCCUCCAAGGCUAAAUACUCCUGACUGACCGAUAGUGAACCAGUACCGUGAGGGAAAGGCGAAAAGAACCCCGGCGAGGGGAGUGAAAAAGAACCUGAAACCGUGUACGUACAAGCAGUGGGAGCCUCUUAAUGGGGUGACUGCGUACCUUUUGUAUAAUGGGUCAGCGACUUAUAUUCUGUAGCAAGGUUAACCGAAUAGGGGAGCCGAAGGGAAACCGAGUCUUAACUGGGCGUUAAGUUGCAGGGUAUAGACCCGAAACCCGGUGAUCUAGCCAUGGGCAGGUUGAAGGUUGGGUAACACUAACUGGAGGACCGAACCGACUAAUGUUGAAAAAUUAGCGGAUGACUUGUGGCUGGGGGUGAAAGGCCAAUCAAACCGGGAGAUAGCUGGUUCUCCCCGAAAGCUAUUUAGGUAGCGCCUCGUGAAUUCAUCUCCGGGGGUAGAGCACUGUUUCGGCAAGGGGGUCAUCCCGACUUACCAACCCGAUGCAAACUGCGAAUACCGGAGAAUGUUAUCACGGGAGACACACGGCGGGUGCUAACGUCCGUCGUGAAGAGGGAAACAACCCAGACCGCCAGCUAAGGUCCCAAAGUCAUGGUUAAGUGGGAAACGAUGUGGGAAGGCCCAGACAGCCAGGAUGUUGGCUUAGAAGCAGCCAUCAUUUAAAGAAAGCGUAAUAGCUCACUGGUCGAGUCGGCCUGCGCGGAAGAUGUAACGGGGCUAAACCAUGCACCGAAGCUGCGGCAGCGACACUAUGUGUUGUUGGGUAGGGGAGCGUUCUGUAAGCCUGUGAAGGUGGCCUGUGAGGGUUGCUGGAGGUAUCAGAAGUGCGAAUGCUGACAUAAGUAACGAUAAAGCGGGUGAAAAGCCCGCUCGCCGGAAGACCAAGGGUUCCUGUCCAACGUUAAUCGGGGCAGGGUGAGUCGACCCCUAAGGCGAGGCCGAAAGGCGUAGUCGAUGGGAAACAGGUUAAUAUUCCUGUACUUGGUGUUACUGCGAAGGGGGGACGGAGAAGGCUAUGUUGGCCGGGCGACGGUUGUCCCGGUUUAAGCGUGUAGGCUGGUUUUCCAGGCAAAUCCGGAAAAUCAAGGCUGAGGCGUGAUGACGAGGCACUACGGUGCUGAAGUAACAAAUGCCCUGCUUCCAGGAAAAGCCUCUAAGCAUCAGGUAACAUCAAAUCGUACCCCAAACCGACACAGGUGGUCAGGUAGAGAAUACCAAGGCGCUUGAGAGAACUCGGGUGAAGGAACUAGGCAAAAUGGUGCCGUAACUUCGGGAGAAGGCACGCUGAUAUGUAGGUGAAGCGACUUGCUCGUGGAGCUGAAAUCAGUCGAAGAUACCAGCUGGCUGCAACUGUUUAUUAAAAACACAGCACUGUGCAAACACGAAAGUGGACGUAUACGGUGUGACGCCUGCCCGGUGCCGGAAGGUUAAUUGAUGGGGUUAGCGGUAACGCGAAGCUCUUGAUCGAAGCCCCGGUAAACGGCGGCCGUAACUAUAACGGUCCUAAGGUAGCGAAAUUCCUUGUCGGGUAAGUUCCGACCUGCACGAAUGGCGUAAUGAUGGCCAGGCUGUCUCCACCCGAGACUCAGUGAAAUUGAACUCGCUGUGAAGAUGCAGUGUACCCGCGGCAAGACGGAAAGACCCCGUGAACCUUUACUAUAGCUUGACACUGAACAUUGAGCCUUGAUGUGUAGGAUAGGUGGGAGGCUUUGAAGUGUGGACGCCAGUCUGCAUGGAGCCGACCUUGAAAUACCACCCUUUAAUGU